AGAGCGAACGCUGGCGGCAGGCCUAAUACAUGCAAGUCGAGCGCACCUUCGGGUGAGCGGCGGACGGGUGAGUAACGCGUGGGAACGUGCCCUUUGGUACGGAACAACUGAGGGAAACUUCAGCUAAUACCGUAUGUGCCCUUCGGGGGAAAGAUUUAUCGCCAUUGGAGCGGCCCGCGUUGGAUUAGCUAGUUGGUGGGGUAAAAGCUCACCAAGGCUACGAUCCAUAGCUGGUCUGAGAGGAUGAUCAGCCACACUGGGACUGAGACACGGCCCAGACUCCUACGGGAGGCAGCAGUAGGGAAUCUUGCGCAAUGGGCGAAAGCCUGACGCAGCCAUGCCGCGUGAAUGAUGAAGGUCUUAGGAUUGUAAAAUUCUUUACACCGGGGAAGAUAAUGACGGUACCGGAGAAGAACGCCCGGCUAACUUCGUGCCAGCAGCCGC
Molecule: ribosomal RNA, 444 nt
Filed under: uncultured bacterium
Lineage: Bacteria
Description: SSU rRNA
Rfam family: Bacterial small subunit ribosomal RNA
Source: RNAcentral